This 598-nucleotide long non-coding RNA is filed under the name Brachypodium distachyon (stiff brome). RNAcentral describes it as "long non-coding RNA (BDIS_LNC004959)". The record is from RNAcentral. Lineage: Eukaryota; Viridiplantae; Streptophyta; Magnoliopsida; Poales; Poaceae.
CACGGGAUAUCUCCAACCUGGCUGGCUGGCGCCUGGCGGCCUGCUACUAGACUCCAAGAUGCAUAAACACAUUCAAGAUUUUUGCUUUUGUUGGCUUAUUUUUGUAUCCACUUUGUGUGACUCGUGAUGUGUGUACCGAGAUUAUUUAACUUUGCAAUAAAAUGGCUGUGUGCAUCCCCUUUUCGGAAAAAAAAAAGGAUCUCCUCUUCGACAGAUCUGUACCCAGCAAAGCCUUGACAUGUUCAGGCUUUCCUCUGUACUGUGUUGCUAAAGAAUAAAGUUUCCCUCUUUACAAAAAAAUAAUCUCCAUACCGAAAAAAAUAUAUGUUAAAAGUUAGAUCUACUAGCCGAAUGCCCGUGCGUUGCAACAGAACAGCAAAAUACAACAUAAAUAAAUUAGCUUGACUCGUUAGAACGUGUGUGCAGUUUUUAAUGUUAUCACGGCAAACACAAGUCUCGUUUUGUUUCGCUAACACAACACACCAUCGAAUAACAAACAUGGUGUUUUUGAAUCAGACAAUGACUCAUAAUUUCAUAUACAGGUUUGUCGACCACCCUUGCAACAACAAUAAAACAUGUCUUCUGACUAUUUUUGACC